This 325-nucleotide long non-coding RNA is filed under the name Mytilus galloprovincialis (Mediterranean mussel). The record is from RNAcentral. Lineage: Eukaryota; Metazoa; Mollusca; Bivalvia; Mytilida; Mytilidae.
GUCACAUUCAUGAAAGGGAAGGGGAUUGUAGUUACCAUGUAAGGAACAUAUCCGAUAUCAUUUGUGAAACGGUUAUUCCAUAACGGUCAACCAACUCGUGAUGGCGUCCGUAAAAUUUACGAAGGGAUGAUUUCAACUUCACCAUUUGGAACUCUUGGUUCAAUAGCUUCCUUGUGAGCAGCAACCCUCUAUCAAGAAAAUCAUGAUAGGAAAUGCAAGCACGGGAAUAUCGUAUCAAUUGGGAGAUAUAUACCCCGUAUGCAGGUGCUGCUGGAAUGUUGCUACUUAGAAAUGGAAAGUUCACAAUUGGAAAGCUGAAAUCAUC